Neolamprologus brichardi is the source of this 605-nucleotide long non-coding RNA. RefSeq lists it as uncharacterized. The record is from RefSeq and is a predicted model, not a curated record. Lineage: Eukaryota; Metazoa; Chordata; Actinopteri; Cichliformes; Cichlidae.
GGAUGGCAUGUGGGUCAUAGUAAGCCUGUCCGGGCUUCCUCCUGUCAGAUGCGUGGAGGCAAGCCAGGUGACAGAGCUGUUGCAGAUGCUGAUUACUGUGAGCCAGAGCCAUAGUGUUGUUGUGCACUGAACAGAACGGAAGUGGCCAGGUGAACCCUUUUCGGGUAUGAAAAAGGAUGGCGAGCCAAUGAACGGCUAGGAGCAGGACUCAUUCUGCAUUGAAGCUUCCACUGGUUGGGUAGGAAGCUAUCAAAGACGACGCUCUGUCCCCAUUUUCCAAAUACACUGAUUUCCACACUCAUACACACCAUUCCCCCCAUUUCUGGACAACAGCGCUUGGACAUCUCUCAUGGACAUUCAGAUAAAACUCAUGGACUUCAGUGUGGAUCAGUGGUUCUGAUGUUAACAUGUGUUAUUUAUGGGGAACUGUUUUUUUUGAGAAUCUAUAUUGCUUGGUAUAAGCCAUAAGAAUUUGCUUAGUUGUCUUUGUGCACCCCCACUGGGUUUCUGAUUAAUUGAGUAGCUGCAGCAGGAGUGAUUAUUUAAGUUCCCCUUUUCUUGUUAUUUUCCUUUGGGGUUCGGUUAAAUACAUGGUACCAGCAAAA